CAUGCAAGUCGAACGGUAGGGGGGGCAACCCCUCGAGAGUGGCGAACGGGUGAGUAAUAUAUCGGAACGUGCCCAGUCGUGGGGGAUAACGUAGCGAAAGUUACGCUAAUACCGCAUACGAUCUACGGAUGAAAGCGGGGGAUCGCAAGACCUCGCGCGAUUGGAGCGGCCGAUAUCAGAUUAGGUAGUUGGUGGGGUAAAGGCUCACCAAGCCAACGAUCUGUAGCUGGUCUGAGAGGACGACCAGCCACACUGGAACUGAGACACGGUCCAGACUCCUACGGGAGGCAGCAGUGGGGAAUUUUGGACAAUGGACGCAAGUCUGAUCCAGCCAUUCCGCGUGCAGGAUGAAGGCCCUCGGGUUGUAAACUGCUUUUGUACGGAACGAAAAGGUCUCUAUUAAUACUAGGGGCUCAUGACGGUACCGUAAGAAUAAGCACCGGCUAACUACGUGCCAGCAGCCGCGGUAAUACGUAGGGUGCAAGCGUUAAUCGGAAUUACUGGGCGUAAAGCGUGCGCAGGCGGUUAUGUAAGACAGAGGUGAAAUCCCCGGGCUCAACUUGGGAACUGCCUUUGUGACUGCAUAGCUAGAGUACGGUAGAGGGGGAUGGAAUUCCGCGUGUAGCAGUGAAAUGCGUAGAUAUGCGGAGGAACACCGAUGGCGAAGGCAAUCCCCUGGACCUGUACUGACGCUCAUGCACGAAAGCGUGGGGAGCAAACAGGAUUAGAUACCCUGGUAGUCCACGCCCUAAACGAUGUCAACUGGUUGUUGGGUCUUCACUGACUCAGUAACGAAGCUAACGCGUGAAGUUGANCGCCUGGGGAGUACGGCCGCAAGGUUGAAACUCAAAUGAAUUGACGGAAGGGCGAAUU
RNAcentral lists this ribosomal RNA (873 nucleotides) under uncultured Comamonadaceae bacterium. RNAcentral describes it as "bacterial SSU rRNA". It matches the Rfam family "Bacterial small subunit ribosomal RNA", at positions 54 to 927 of the family's 1533-position model. Lineage: Bacteria; Pseudomonadati; Pseudomonadota; Betaproteobacteria; Burkholderiales; Comamonadaceae. The record is from RNAcentral.